CCUACGGGAGGCAGCAGUGAGGAAUAUUGGUCAAUGGGCGGGAGCCUGAACCAGCCAUGCCGCGUGAAGGCGAGUGCCCUACGGGCGUUAAACUUCUUUUGUGCGGGAGCAAUAAGGGCCACGCGUGGCCCGAUGAGAGUACCGCACGAAUAAGCAUCGGCUAACUCCGUGCCAGCAGCCGCGGUAAUACGGAGGAUGCGAGCGUUAUCCGGAUUUAUUGGGUUUAAAGGGUGCGUAGGUUGUUUUUUAAGUCAGCGGUGAAAGUUUGUGGCUCAACCAUAAAAUUGCCGUUGAAACUGGAAGACUUGAGUGUGUUUGAGGUAGGCGGAAUGCGUGGUGUAGCGGUGAAAUGCAUAGAUAUCACGCAGAACUCCGAUUGUGAAGGCAGCUUACUAAGCCAUAACUGACACUGAAGCACGAAAGCGUGGGGAUCAAACAGGAUUAGAUACCCUUGUAGUC
RNAcentral lists this ribosomal RNA (459 nucleotides) under uncultured bacterium. Its description in RNAcentral is "partial 16S ribosomal RNA". It matches the Rfam family "Bacterial small subunit ribosomal RNA", at positions 338 to 795 of the family's 1533-position model. The record is from RNAcentral.